RNAcentral lists this ribosomal RNA (604 nucleotides) under uncultured marine bacterium. RNAcentral describes it as "bacterial SSU rRNA". It matches the Rfam family "Bacterial small subunit ribosomal RNA", at positions 73 to 674 of the family's 1533-position model. The record is from RNAcentral.
UUGGUGCUUGCACCGAAAGACGAGUGGCGAACGGGUGAGUAACGCGUAUGCAAUCUGCCUUUUACUAGAGUAUAGCCCAGAGAAAUUUGGAUUAAUCCUCUAUAAUAUCAUUAAUUCGCAUGAAUAUAUGAUUAAAGCUUCGGCGGUAAAAGAUGAGCAUGCGUCCUAUUAGUUAGUAGGUGAGGUAAUGGCUCACCUAGACUACGAUAGGUAGGGGUCCUGAGAGGGAGAUCCCCCACACUGGUACUGAGACACGGACCAGACUCCUACGGGAGGCAGCAGUGAGGAAUAUUGGACAAUGGACGAAAGUCUGAUCCAGCUAUGCCGCGUGCAGGAUGACGGCCCUAUGGGUUGUAAACUGCUUUUAUACAGGAAGAAAACCUCCGACGUGUCGGAGCUUGACGGUACUGUAAGAAUAAGGAUCGGCUAACUCCGUGCCAGCAGCCGCGGUAAUACGGAGGAUCCAAGCGUUAUCCGGAAUCAUUGGGUUUAAAGGGUCCGUAGGCGGUUUUUUAGGUCAGAGGUGAAAUCCUGCAGCUCAACUGUAGAAUUGCCUUUGAUACUGAAAGACUUGAGUUAUUGUGAAGUGGUUAGAAUGUGUGGU